AGGCUUAUCGGGCCCAAGAGUUCACAUCGACGGCCCGGUUUGGCACCUCGAUGUCGGCUCGUCGCAUCCUGGGGCUGGAGUCGGUCCCAAGGGUUGGGCUGUUCGCCCAUUAAAGCGGUACGCGAGCUGGGUUUAGAACGUCGUGAGACAGUAAGGGAAUUGCUGUCUAUAAAUCUGGCCAAAUGCUGGAAAAUCCGGUGAAUCCCUCACUACCGUCAGCACGCCGUUAAGGCGAUUCCAAUCGCCACGAUAGGCGGCUACGGUGACAACGUGAAGGGCGCGGACGAUCAGCAGGAAAGGCUGGAUGGCUACAUCGCCGGCUACGUAGACGGCGAAGGGAGCUUCUCUGUCACGGUAAACCGCAACCCGACGUCAAGGUUCAGGUUGCAGCUCGUUCCUGAAUUCCAUGUCAGCCAGAACGGCGACAGGAGGGAAGUGCUGGACUUGAUCCAACGGCGGCUUCAGUGCGGAUACAUCAAACGCAAUGGCAGGAAGGACCAGGUAAUGGUCUUCGUGGUCAGACGCCGCGAGGACUUGCUGAAAAAGGUCAUCCCAUUCUUCGAACGAACACCGCUGAUCUCGUCGAAACAAAGCGAAUUCGAGACGUUUGCCACGGUCGUCAGAGCGAUGGCCGCCGGCGAACAUCUCCGCGAACCGGGUUUCAGCCAGAUCCUGGAACUCGGGUUGUCCAUGAAUGGAAAUGGACGCUUUCGACAGGUGAGAUGGCGGUCGCUAGUCAGCCAUCCGGAAUCCUCAGAGACUGUACGCCAGACGGGCUUGCCGCCCGAAGAUACAGUCCGAGCUGCAUGGCGACAUGCAGAGCUGGGCAGAAAUGAUCCGGCCUCGUGAUCAGUCGGUCGCGAGUAACAAAACUGUCGGUCCCUAUCCGCCGUGGGCGCAGGAGACUUGAGGAGAGUUGACCCUAGUACGAGAGGACCGGGUUGAACGGCCCGCUAGUGUACCGGUUGUCACGCCAGUGGCAGCGCCGGGUAGCCAUGGCCGGUUUGGAUAAGCGCUGAAAGCAUCUAAGUGCGAAGCCAACUCCAAGAUAAGGUCUCCCACCGGGUUAACCGGGUAAGGGCCCUGCUAGACCAGCAGGUUGAUAGGCCGGAGGUGUAAGAGGAGCAAUCCUUUGAGCUGACCGGUACUAAUAGCCCGAGGGCUUGUUCACCUAUAAC
This 1178-nucleotide ribosomal RNA is filed under the name Chloroflexota bacterium. RNAcentral describes it as "Chloroflexi bacterium partial 23S ribosomal RNA". It matches the Rfam family "Bacterial large subunit ribosomal RNA", at positions 2479 to 2925 of the family's 2925-position model. Lineage: Bacteria; Bacillati; Chloroflexota. The record is from RNAcentral.